GACGAACGCUGGCGGCGUGCUUAACACAUGCAAGUCGAACGGAAAGGCCCUGCUUUUGUGGGGUGCUCGAGUGGCGAACGGGUGAGUAACACGUGAGUAACCUGCCCUUGACUUUGGGAUAACUUCAGGGAACUGGGGCUAAUACCGGAUAGGAGCUCCUGCUGCAUGGUGGGGGUUGGAAAGUUUCGGCGGUUGGGGAUGGACUCGCGGCUUAUCAGCUUGUUGGUGGGGUAGUGGCUUACCAAGGCUUUGACGGGUAGCCGGCCUGAGAGGGUGACCGGCCACAUUGGGACUGAGAUACGGCCCAGACUCCUACGGUAGGCAGCAGUGGGGAAUAUUGCACAAUGGGCGGAAGCCUGAUGCAGCAACGCCGCGUGCGGGAUGACGGCCUUCGGGUUGUAAACCGCUUUCGCCUGUGACGAAGCGUGAGUGACGGUAAUGGGUAAAGAAGCACCGGCUAACUACGUG
This 468-nucleotide ribosomal RNA is filed under the name uncultured bacterium. RNAcentral's name for it is "partial 16S ribosomal RNA". It matches the Rfam family "Bacterial small subunit ribosomal RNA", at positions 28 to 507 of the family's 1533-position model. The record is from RNAcentral.